UACGUAAGGGGCAAGCGUUGUCCGGAUUUAUUGGGCGUAAAGAGCGUGUAGGCGGCCAGGUAGGUCUGCUGUGAAAACUCGAGGCUUAACCUCGAGCUGUCGGCGGAAACCAUCUGGCUAGAGUCCGGAAGAGGAGAAUGGAAUUCCCGGUGUAGCGGUGAAAUGCGCAGAUAUCGGGAAGAACACCCGUGGCGAAGGCGGUUCUCUGGGACGGUACUGACGCUGAGACGCGAAAGCGUGGGGAGCGAACAGG
Molecule: ribosomal RNA, 253 nt
Filed under: uncultured bacterium
Lineage: Bacteria
Description: partial 16S ribosomal RNA
Rfam family: Bacterial small subunit ribosomal RNA
Source: RNAcentral